Non-coding RNA from Rattus norvegicus (Norway rat), 1807 nucleotides. NCBI's taxonomy places the organism in Eukaryota, Metazoa, Chordata, Mammalia, Rodentia, Muridae. The record is from RefSeq and is a predicted model, not a curated record.
CAAACAAACGUUAGUUUGAAGGGCCAUCCAUGUUCUUAGUGCCUGUGGCCUACCCUUUCUGGGUGGUUUUCUGUUUCUGUCAGGCACAUGGUGUUGUUGGCACAGGUCUGAAAUACAGCUAGUCAGUGCUCAUACUCUGGGCUGCUGUGAGACUGUUAGAAAUCAGGCCUACGAUCUGUUGGAUGCUUUAAAAAAAGUUACAGAUACUAGGACGGGAGAGAUGGAUCAGCAGUUAAGAGAACUGACUCUUCUUACCGAGGACCCAGGUUCAGUUCCCACAUGGCAGCUCACGGCUACCUGCAACUCCAGUGCUAGGAGAUCUGAUACCCCUUUCUGGUCUCUAAUGGCACCAAGUUUGAAUUUGGUACACAUGCAUACAUGGAGACAAAACACUGUUACACAUAAGAUGAAAAUAAAAAUAAAAAUUUAAAAAUAGUUUCACCAAAGCAGUUUUAUUUUCCUUCAAGUUUUAUAUUCUUGAAGAUCAAACAUAGGGCAUUGCUCAUGUGAAGCAAAUACUCUACCACUGCCUUAUUUAAAUAAUUAUUAUUGAGGUCCCAUUAAGUGGCCCUGCCUAGCCUUGAACUCACAGAGAUCAACCUGCCUCGGGUUGCUGGGAUUAGCGGUGCUCACCAUACUCAGGUCCAAAGGGAUCUCCGCCCCCCAGAUUCUGGCCCCCAGCCCCCUCUAUCAAAGGAGCCAUUUUUCCAUCACUGUCUGUGGUGCCUAUUAAGGCCAAAUCACACAGUGGCCACCAGGAUCUCAGCUCUUGCCCACCCUCUCACGCUAACGUUUUCUAGCUGGGGCGGGGUCAGGCUUCCCUUUUGUUCCAGUGCGCUCCUACUCUUUCGGAUAUACGCUCUCUGGGCUCUUGUCCUUUGGCCCCAUCUCUCACAGGUCCCUCUCUCUUGCCCCUCACUCUGGUCUCUUUUGCACACACUCUCUCUUCCUCUCUCACCAGCUCCCCUUCUUCCCCAGUCCAUCUACUACUUUAUCUCCCGCUCUGGACUCCGGUAGAAGACUCCUUCCACGGGCCCCCGAGCCAGGCUUCCGAUUCAACUUUCCCAGUUGUUCCUGCGGAUUCUGUUACCGGUCACACUUACUCCGCAUUCCAGAGUCUGCCUCUUCAGUCCCUUCUUCCCUCUACCUGCUAGGCUUCUCCACUGCGGUUCUGGACAUCUCUUGGUCUCUCUCUGGCUCCUGGAGCUUGCUAUGCCCUCUUGGGAACUCUUCACAUGGAAAGGCUUCGUGUCUUCCUCCACCUGUUCUCCUCAUCUGGCUAAAUGGACUCCAGAUACGUGUUGCAGUUAACAGAUUCAGGUUUCUUGCCUGCUGCGGACUCCUCCUGAGGCUGGGUCUCUCUCCUUCCCUGGUCUUGGAACUUCCUCUCCACCAACCACUAGGACCGCACACCGGAGUUUCAAGCGUAUACCCAAGAUAAAGAUUUCCCCCGAAGUUCCUUAACUUUACCUUCUGUCUCGAGUCUUUGUUCCAGCGGAUUUCCAGCCAAUGGCAGAUUACAAACUGCUCCAAACUGAACCAGCGAGCCCGGAACGUACUGAAAGCCUAUAUAAACCAGAUACUUCUGAGAGUUUCCGACUGACCUGGGCCCUUACUUUAGACCAGCUUUCCUGACAGCUCCCCAGGUGGUCCCACUGAACGCAGGCAGCAAGUGAAACAGACGUCCUGGCCUGACUCUUCUCUCCAAUCCGGACCUUUGACUGAUAAUCCAGCCUUCCGGGGCCCUGACAACAACUUUUAAUUUCAGUUACAGAAGAGAUUAAAUUAGCCCUGAUCACCAACAACA